This 2075-nucleotide long non-coding RNA is filed under the name Homo sapiens (human). RNAcentral's name for it is "HSALNT0340443". The record is from RNAcentral. Lineage: Eukaryota; Metazoa; Chordata; Mammalia; Primates; Hominidae.
AGCCAGCCACCGCACCCAGCCUAAAUGCUUGAUUCAUUUCAACAAAUACUUGUUUGGCACCUCUGUUAAAAGGCCCUGAUAUAGGACAUUUAACUCCACAAUGCAGUAAACUCUGAAAAUAAGUAAAUAGACAAUUAAAAAUCAAAAACUUAAUUUAAGAAAUAACCAAAUCAUUCCAAACCAAAACUAUUUAUUUUACUAAAGGAAUUGCCACAGUAUUUUAAAAGGCGAACUUAUCUAAUGCUGUUAGUUUUAUUUAUGAUGACAUAACGUAAACAACUUUUUACAAAUGCCUUCACUAGGACUACAUUGACAUAUACUUGCUUUACAUAUGUAACAUUUUUCCAAAAGCAGCUUGAAAAUUGUCAACUGCAUCUCUCCAAACUAUAGAUAAUCCUUAACUUAUGAAGGUAUUAUGUCCCAAUAAAACUAUCAUUAAAUUGUAAACAUCAUAAGUCAACAAUGCAUUUAAUAUACCUAACCUACCAAACUGACUGAGAGCUGCAGCUCACUACUGCUGCACAACAUCGCAACAGAGUAUUUUGCUGCAUAUAUGGCUACCCUGGAAAAAGAUCCAAAUUCACAGGAUGGUUUCUUUCCCAAAGUAGCUGGGACUACAGGCACAUGCCAGCAGGGCCAGUUAAAUUUUUAAUUUUAAUUUUUGUAGCAACAUAGGGUCUUGCUAUGUUGUCCAGGCUCACAGUACAGUUUCUAAUGAAUGUGUACCACUUUACCACAUGGUAAAUUUAAAAAAUUGUAAGUUGGGGACCAUCUGUACUUUUUUUCUGCUGUCAUGAUUUUAUUUUCAUGCUACAAAAGUACAUUCACAUCAAUAUUUCCUUCUUUGAACUUUUUUCUUUACCUGCCUAAUUCUGUUUGUCCCUCAAGAUUUAUCUUAGAUGGCACCAUCUCCAGGAAGCCUUCCCUGAUUUCCCAGAUUAAAGGAGUUGCUCCUUCUCUGGGCUCCCCAAUCCACUGUGCAUAUGAUUACCCAGGUAAUUCCCACACUCUACUUAAAUCAAUGCUUUCUGUGUUUAUUUUCCUAAUUAGACCAUGAGCUCCUUAAAAGCCCAGGCUUCAUCUUUCAGCUCUGUAUCUGCAGGACAAUGGUACACAGUCAAUGGCCAAUAAAUGUUGGUGAAGAGAGGAAGAGAGAGAGAAUAAAAUAAAUUUUAUGUCUAUUUUCUCCAUCAAUUCUCUUCUCCUUCAUCCUCAUUUCAUGUUUUCCUAUUAUUUCUCCCCAAACACUAAUACAUCAUCUUUAUCCCUCUCUUCCUAGUUUCAAUUCACAACUUGCAAUAUCUCUCUUGGGGUCCUAACUAUUGCAAAAAUGCUGAUCUGGUGUGUGAGUAGCACAGGUUUAAGAGUUUGUUGCUCCUUAGCAUUGCAAAGAAGGGGAUUGUUUUAUCUGGCGCUGGAUUAGUCUCCAUUAUAUCUCCUCUUCUGUUUUAGCUAGGGAUUUUUAACAUGAUUGAGUUUUACCUAGUUUUCAAUGUUAGCAGCUGGGUAAACAUACUUUCUGCAACACCCUGGAUAAAAUGGCAAACUCCAGGGGAAAGUCUUCUACCUUUAGAUUAAUAAAAAAGACUUGCUCACAGCCCUGGUUGGGGAAUAGUAACACUUGAGAGCAUUUGAGGGGAAUCGUGUGUGCUGGCUGUGGAAAACGCAGCUGAUGACCAAAACAGGCAGCUGCCGUCCUGAGUGAGGCUGAUCGCCCUCAGAGAGUAGCUUCAAACUGUACUUAGCAAGAAUAACAGAGAACUGAGGUCAUCACUAUUUGAACUACCGUGGAGGAAGAGAGACGUGCUAGAAGAGACUUGGAGAACUGCAACUCAUAAGAAGGUACCAAAAAAUGUCAGCGCACUAGCAGAAGAGAGCACAAAAGCUAGCCUGCAAGCAGCCAAGGGCUCUAUCUGUGGUCUGUGUUUUAACGGCAGUACCAAUGAUGAUGUGACCUCCUUAUGAAAUUUCCUCUCCUAGGACUACCCACGCCUGCCCCGUCUCUUCCUUGCAGGUCGAUUCCUUACUUAUUGUUAAGUCUGAAUAAAAAUAUAACAAACUUAUAGAUACCAAAA